UGAGACAGAAGGAUUGCCAGAACCCAGGAAGUGGAGGCUGCAGUGAGCUGUGAUCGUGCCACUGCAUUCCAGUCUGGGCAACAGAGCAAGAC
This 92-nucleotide microRNA precursor is filed under the name Carlito syrichta (Philippine tarsier). RNAcentral describes it as "miRNA (ENSTSYG00000035424.1)". The record is from RNAcentral. Lineage: Eukaryota; Metazoa; Chordata; Mammalia; Primates; Tarsiidae.